RNAcentral lists this long non-coding RNA (380 nucleotides) under Elaeis guineensis (African oil palm). RNAcentral's name for it is "long non-coding RNA (EGUI_LNC041064)". Lineage: Eukaryota; Viridiplantae; Streptophyta; Magnoliopsida; Arecales; Arecaceae. The record is from RNAcentral.
ACUUUAAUUGUCACACUCCCGACCCGAGAUUAUGAAUCGAAGGUCAUGGCAGCCGUCGCAUGCUCAUAGAAAAUUCUUUUCACAAACAUGCAAGGCAUCUUAUUACGUUAUCAAUGAAGAAAAAAUCGUCUUUUUCCUUUGUAGGAUCUUCCAGAUUUCAUCAAAUCUGGGAUGAAAUAAUUUAAAAAUUUUAUCCUACGCUAUUUCAGAUCUAAUGUCUGUUAGAUCUAAUUUUAUUAUCUGAUAUUUAAAAUCUAAAAUUAUAUGAGAAGUAUAAACAUACCUCAAGGGUAAUCUGAUUACCCUGUAGAUGAUCUCAGCACAGCCCGAGGUUCUGAUGUAGCCACGCAAGUGCCUGGCCUCUACCGGUAUCCACUCAG